AAUCAACGCUGGCGGCGUGCCUAACACAUGCAAGUCGCACGAGAAAGGGUCUUCGGAUCUGAGUAAAGUGGCGCACGGGUGAGUAACACGUGAAUUAUCUACCUUCGAGUGGGGAAUAACUUCGGGAAACCGAGGUUAAUACCGCAUAAUAUCUACGGAUCAAAGCAGUAAUGCGCUUGAAGAGGAGUUCGCGGCAGAUUAGUUAGUUGGCGGUGUAAUGGCCCACCAAGACGAUGAUAUGUAUCCGGCCUGAGAGGGCGCACGGACACACGGGAGCUGAACCACGGUCCAGUCUACUCCGGGAGGCAGCAGUGGGGAAUUUUGCGCAAUGGGGGAAACCCUGACGCAGCAACGCCGCGUGGAGAAUGAAGUCUCUUGGGACGUAAACCCCUUUCGGUAGGGAAGAUUAUGACGGUACCUAUAGAGGAAGCCCCGGCUAACUUCGUGCCAGCCGCCGCCGUAA
RNAcentral lists this ribosomal RNA (463 nucleotides) under uncultured bacterium. RNAcentral describes it as "partial 16S ribosomal RNA". It matches the Rfam family "Bacterial small subunit ribosomal RNA", at positions 32 to 523 of the family's 1533-position model. The record is from RNAcentral.